ACCGCCACCGCUGCGCCACCGCAAAUCAUGACGACCACCGCCGCAUCCUCCCAGGUUCUCUCUUACUCUCGGUCUGUCUGUCAGUCUCUCUCUCUCUGGGGCUGUCGACCUCGGUCUCUCUCUCUAUCCCCGUUUCUCUAUUUCACCUCCUUGUUAGUCUCCGUCGCCUGAGAUCCAUCACCCACGGAAGCUCAAUGGCUACGGUGGUGAAGGAGCGAUUAGGGCCAUUGGAUCCAGUCUUUGCUCGUGUUGCUGAUGCCAUGGUGGACUAGAUCAAUCUAUAGAAAAUGGUGGCUGGGACUCGAUUAGCGGCUUGAGAUAGUACUUACUUAUCUCUUCCGGAGGGGACUGCUUCUGUGGUUGGCUUAAUUGCAAUGAUGACUGAUCACUACUGCAAUUUG
Camellia sinensis is the source of this 401-nucleotide non-coding RNA. NCBI's taxonomy places the organism in Eukaryota, Viridiplantae, Streptophyta, Magnoliopsida, Ericales, Theaceae. The record is from RefSeq and is a predicted model, not a curated record.